UACCGGAACCGUACCUAGGAAGGGUGGGGAAUUAACGGUACGACGUAAAGUUUACCGCUAAUACCGCAUAUUCCUGUGAGCAGGAAAGAGGGGGAUCGCAAGACCUCUUGCUUUAGGAGCGGCCGAUGUCGGAUUAGCUAGUUGGUGAGGUAAAGGCUCACCAAGGCGACGAUCCGUAGCGGGUCUGAGAGGAUGAUCCGCCACACUGGGACUGAGACACGGCCCAGACUCCUACGGGAGGCAGCAGUGGGGAAUUUUGGACAAUGGGCGCAAGCCUGAUCCAGCCAUGCCGCGUGAGUGAAGAAGGCCUUCGGGUUGUAAAGCUCUUUCGGUGGGGAAGAAAUUGCUUCGGUUAAUACCUGGAGUAGAUGACGGUACCCGCAUAAGAAGCACCGGCUAACUACGUG
This 407-nucleotide ribosomal RNA is filed under the name uncultured bacterium. RNAcentral describes it as "bacterial SSU rRNA". It matches the Rfam family "Bacterial small subunit ribosomal RNA", at positions 116 to 507 of the family's 1533-position model. The record is from RNAcentral.